GAACGCGAAAGUUCCCUUCGGGGAGCGAGUAGAGUGGCGCACGGGUGAGUAACACGUAGGUAAUCUACCUUCGGAUGGGGAAUAACAACCGGAAACGGUUGCUAAUACCGCAUAAUGCAGCGGCACCUAAUGGUGACAGUUGUUAAAGCGGGGGAUCGAAAGACCUCGCGUCUGAAGAGGAGCCUGCGGCAGAUUAGCUAGUUGGUAAGGUAAUGGCUUACCAAGGCGAUGAUCUGUAGCCGGCCUGAGAGGGCGGUCGGCCACACUGACACUGACAUACGGGUCAGACUCCUACGGGAGGCAGCAGUCGGGAAUUUUGGGCAAUGGGCGAAAGCCUGACCCAGCUACGCCGCGUGAAGGAUGAAAUCCUUCGGGAUGUAAACUUCGCAAGAACAGGAAGAAUAAGCCGGUGUUAAUAUCGCCGGUGAUGACGGUACUGUUUGUAAGCUCCGGCUAACUCCGUGCCAGCAGCCGCGGUAAUACGGGGGGAGCAAGCGUUGUUCGGAUUUACUGGGCGUAAAGGGCGCGUAGGCGGCCACCGCAAGUCAGUUGUGAAAUCUCUGGGCUUAACCCAGAAAGGUCAACUGAUACUGCGGGGCUAGAGUGCAGAAGGGGCAACUGGAAUUCUCGGUGUAGCGGUGAAAUGCGUAGAUAUCGAGAGGAACACCUGCGGCGAAGGCGGGUUGCUGGGCUGACACUGACGCUGAGGCGCGAAAGCUAGGGGAGCGAACGGGAUUAGAUACCCCGGUAGUCCUAGCCUUAAACGAUGAAUGCUUGGUGUCUGGGGUUUUAUAGUCCCCGGGUGCCGUCGCUAACGCUUUAAGCAUU
RNAcentral lists this ribosomal RNA (828 nucleotides) under uncultured bacterium. RNAcentral describes it as "bacterial SSU rRNA". It matches the Rfam family "Bacterial small subunit ribosomal RNA", at positions 64 to 868 of the family's 1533-position model. The record is from RNAcentral.